Molecule: ribosomal RNA, 149 nt
Filed under: uncultured bacterium
Lineage: Bacteria
Description: partial 16S ribosomal RNA
Rfam family: Bacterial small subunit ribosomal RNA
Source: RNAcentral
AGACCAGCACGCCGCGUGGAUGAUGAAGGCCUUCAGGUUGUAAACUCCUGUUAGAGGAGAAGAAUAGUACCGGUUGGACCGGUAUAUGACUGUACCCUCCCAGAAAGCCCCGGCUAACUACGUGCCAGCAGCCGCGGUAAUAUAAUAUA